GCGGGCGCGCGGGGGCUGCCGGCUGGAGGGCCCCGGGAGACGCCGGUUUACACGUGCGGUUUUGAUCCUGUUCACUGCCCGUGUUUUCAACGCCAGCCGUCUGCGAGGAGCCGCUGGGACGUGCCCAUCAGCCCGAGACUUCAGUAAGCCGGGAGCUUCCCGAACAGAGCCUCACAAUGACACCGAGAGAGCCCCCGGAAGUAAUUUCUCCAGUGAAAAAUAUAGAGAAUCAAAGAAUCAAAG
Alligator sinensis (Chinese alligator) is the source of this 243-nucleotide long non-coding RNA. RefSeq lists it as uncharacterized. NCBI's taxonomy places the organism in Eukaryota, Metazoa, Chordata, Crocodylia, Alligatoridae. The transcript has 3 exons. The record is from RefSeq and is a predicted model, not a curated record.